UACGGAGGAUGCAAGCGUUAUCCGGAUUUAUUGGGUUUAAAGGGUGCGUAGGCGGAAUAUUAAGUCAGUGAUGAAAUCCUGCAGCUUAACUGUAGAACUGUCAUUGAUACUGAUAUUCUUGAAUGUAGUUGAGGUGGGCGGAAUAUGUAAUGUAGCGGUGAAAUGCUUAGAUAUUACAUAGAACACCGAUUGCGAAGGCAGCUCACUAAACUAUGAUUGACGCUGAGGCACGAAAGCGUGGGGAGCGAACAGG
RNAcentral lists this ribosomal RNA (253 nucleotides) under uncultured bacterium. RNAcentral's name for it is "partial 16S ribosomal RNA". It matches the Rfam family "Bacterial small subunit ribosomal RNA", at positions 524 to 776 of the family's 1533-position model. The record is from RNAcentral.